UCGAGAAUCUUUCGCAAUGGGCGAAAGCCUGACGAAGCGACGCCGCGUGAGCGAUGAAGGCCUUAGGGUUGUAAAGCUCUUUCGCCUGGGAACAAGAGAGACCGCUGAAUAAGCGGUUGAUUUGAGGGUACCAGGAUAAGAAGCACCGGCUAACUCUGUGCCAGCAGCUGCGGUAAUACAGAGGGUGCUAGCGUUAAUCGGAUUUAUUGGGCGUAAAGGGCGUGUAGGCGGAGAGGUAAGUCAGAUGUGAAAUCCCGGGGCUCAACUCCGGAACAGCAUUUGAAACUGCCCUUCUAGAGGAUAGACGGAGAAAAUGGAAUUCCACAAGUAGCGGUGAAAUGCGUAGAUAUGUGGAAGAACACCUGUGGCGAAAGCGGUUUUCUAGUUUAUUCCUGACGCUGAGGCGCGAAAGCUAGGGGAGCAAACA
RNAcentral lists this ribosomal RNA (427 nucleotides) under uncultured Candidatus Rhabdochlamydia sp. Its description in RNAcentral is "bacterial SSU rRNA". It matches the Rfam family "Bacterial small subunit ribosomal RNA", at positions 355 to 774 of the family's 1533-position model. Lineage: Bacteria; Pseudomonadati; Chlamydiota; Chlamydiia; Parachlamydiales; Candidatus Rhabdochlamydiaceae. The record is from RNAcentral.